GGUAAAAUGGCCGAAGAAGGUGAUAAAUUGUAAAUUUAUUUAUGGUCCCAUCCUUUUACUG
This 61-nucleotide transfer RNA is filed under the name Ornithodoros zumpti. RNAcentral's name for it is "tRNA-Tyr". Lineage: Eukaryota; Metazoa; Arthropoda; Arachnida; Ixodida; Argasidae. The record is from RNAcentral.